AGACUGCCAGCUCCGUGACAGCAAGAACCUUGUAUGACUUUUUCAUGAUGGAUGUUCAUCUGUGCCAUCUGUAAAUAUUGAAUAAAUAUUUGUGGAAUACAUGAAUCUAAAAGUGAAUGGAAUGAUAAAGAGGGAAAGGGUCAUGACAUCUACUACAGCAUUUGGCACAGACCCAGCUGUCUGCAGUACUAUCAAGAGAUGACAUGGACUUCAAGGAUCAAACAGGGGAGAAAAAGGCUUAAAAGAAAAACAAGUCUCCAUCAAAGGUAAUAACCACAAUGAGAACUAUACAUAGCUAUGUGCUUAUAGGUCUUAGUUCACAUUCCCCUCAUUAAAAUUAUAGCUCAAGAAAUAAAGGGCUGUUUAAUGACUUGGGUAUAUAAAUAUACUUCAUUUGUAUAUUUUUUACUUGCUAAAAUCUAUCCAAAUUGGUAUUACCUCAAACCAUAAUCUUCUACUGUAUUUUAUAAUUUUACUUUAUUGCCAUGUAUUUUUCCCACUGAUGUUCACAAAUUCACAGGAAACAUCAGCCAUGUACUAAAUAAAAUAUGAAUUGAAUCGACAAAUAGAACUAUAAAUUUAAUUCAAGCACAUGUAAAAUUUAGACCAAAGAAUAAAAA
Molecule: long non-coding RNA, 620 nt
Filed under: Homo sapiens (human)
Lineage: Eukaryota; Metazoa; Chordata; Mammalia; Primates; Hominidae
Description: ERICH2 divergent transcript
Source: RNAcentral